RNAcentral lists this ribosomal RNA (497 nucleotides) under uncultured bacterium. RNAcentral describes it as "partial 16S ribosomal RNA". It matches the Rfam family "Bacterial small subunit ribosomal RNA", at positions 28 to 507 of the family's 1533-position model. The record is from RNAcentral.
GAUGAACGCUGGCGGCGUGCCUAAUACAUGCAAGUCGAGCGAACAGACGAGGAGCUUGCUCCUCUGACGUUAGCGGCGGACGGGUGAGUAACACGUGGAUAACCUACCUAUAAGACUGGGAUAACUUCGGGAAACCGGAGCUAAUACCGGAUAAUAUAUUGAACCGCAUGGUUCAAUAGUGAAAGACGGUUUUGCUGUCACUUAUAGAUGGAUCCGCGCCGCAUUAGCUAGUUGGUAAGGUAACGGCUUACCAAGGCAACGAUGCGUAGCCGACCUGAGAGGGUGAUCGGCCACACUGGAACUGAGACACGGUCCAGACUCCUACGGGAGGCAGCAGUAGGGAAUCUUCCGCAAUGGGCGAAAGCUUGACGGAGCAACGCCGCGUGAGUGAUGCAGGUCUUCGGAUCGUAAAACUCUGUUAUUAGGGAAGAACAAAUGUGUAAGUAACUAUGCACGUCUUGACGGUACCUAAUCAGAAAGCCACGGCUAACUACGUG